GGUUAAGCGACUAAGCGUACACGGUGGAUGCCCUGGCAGUCAGAGGCGAUGAAGGGCGUGCUAAUCUGCGAUAAGCGCCGGUAAGGUGAUAUGAACCGUUAUAACCGGCGAUACCCGAAUGGGGAAACCCAGUGUGACUCGUCACACUAUCAUUAACUGAAUCCAUAGGUUAAUGAGGCGAACCGGGGGAACUGAAACAUCUAAGUACCCCGAGGAAAAGAAAUCAACCGAGAUUCCCCCAGUAGCGGCGAGCGAACGGGGAGGAGCCCAGAGCCUGAAUCAGCAUGUGUGUUAGUGGAAGCGUCUGGAAAGGCGCGCGAUACAGGGUGACAGCCCCGUACACAAAAGCGCAUGUGCUGUGAGCUCGAAGAGUAGGGCGGGACACGUGGUAUCCUGUCUGAAUAUGGGGGGACCAUCCUCCAAGGCUAAAUACUCCUGACUGACCGAUAGUGAACCAGUACCGUGAGGGAAAGGCGAAAAGAACCCCGGCGAGGGGAGUGAAAAAGAACCUGAAACCGUGUACGUACAAGCAGUGGGAGCCCCACCACUAAGCCAGUGGUGAACUCCACAUACGCAUCCUUUGCUGAGGAUACGGUUAACGGAGCGAAAGCGACGUUCAACCGCAAAAGAAGCAGAGGGGGCUUAGUGGUGGGGUGACUGCGUACCUUUUGUAUAAUGGGUCAGCGACUUAUAUUCUGUAGCAAGGUUAACCGUAUAGGGGAGCCGGAGGGAAACCGAGUCUUAACCGGGCGUUAAGUUGCAGGGUAUAGACCCGAAACCCGGUGAUCUAGCCAUGGGCAGGUUGAAGGUUGGGUAACACUAACUGGAGGACCGAACCGACUAAUGUUGAAAAAUUAGCGGAUGACCUGUGGCUGGGGGUGAAAGGCCAAUCAAACCGGGAGAUAGCUGGUUCUCCCCGAAAGCUAUUUAGGUAGCGCCUCGUGAACUCAUCUCCGGGGGUAGAGCACUGUUUCGGCUAGGGGGCCAUCCCGGCUUACCAACCCGAUGCAAACUGCGAAUACCGGAGAAUGUUAUCACGGGAGACACACGGCGGGUGCUAACGUCCGUCGUGAAGAGGGAAACAACCCAGACCGCCAGCUAAGGUCCCAAAGUCAUGGUUAAGUGGGAAACGAUGUGGGAAGGCCCAGACAGCCAGGAUGUUGGCUUAGAAGCAGCCAUCAUUUAAAGAAAGCGUAAUAGCUCACUGGUCGAGUCGGCCUGCGCGGAAGAUGUAACGGGGCUAAACCAUGCACCGAAGCUGCGGCAGCGACGCUUAUGCGUUGUUGGGUAGGGGAGCGUUCUGUAAGCCUGCGAAGGUGGCCUGUGAGGGUUGCUGGAGGUAUCAGAAGUGCGAAUGCUGACAUAAGUAACGAUAAAGCGGGUGAAAAGCCCGCUCGCCGGAAGACCAAGGGUUCCUGUCCAACGUUAAUCGGGGCAGGGUGAGUCGACCCCUAAGGCGAGGCCGAAAGGCGUAGUCGAUGGGAAACGGGUUAAUAUUCCCGUACUUGGUGUUACUGCGAAGGGGGGACGGAGAAGGCUAUGUUGGCCGGGCGACGGUUGUCCCGGUUUAAGCGUGUAGGUGUGUGUUCCAGGUAAAUCCGGUUCACUUUAACACUGAGGCGUGAUGACGAGGCACUACGGUGCUGAAGCAACAAAUGCCCUGCUUCCAGGAAAAGCCUCUAAGCAUCAGGUAACAUCAAAUCGUACCCCAAACCGACACAGGUGGUCAGGUAGAGAAUACCAAGGCGCUUGAGAGAACUCGGGUGAAGGAACUAGGCAAAAUGGUGCCGUAACUUCGGGAGAAGGCACGCUGACACGUAGGUGAAGUGAUUUACUCACGGAGCUGAAGUCAGUCGAAGAUACCAGCUGGCUGCAACUGUUUAUUAAAAACACAGCACUGUGCAAACACGAAAGUGGACGUAUACGGUGUGACGCCUGCCCGGUGCCGGAAGGUUAAUUGAUGGGGUUAUCCGUAAGGAGAAGCUCUUGAUCGAAGCCCCGGUAAACGGCGGCCGUAACUAUAACGGUCCUAAGGUAGCGAAAUUCCUUGUCGGGUAAGUUCCGACCUGCACGAAUGGCGUAAUGAUGGCCAGGCUGUCUCCACCCGAGACUCAGUGAAAUUGAACUCGCUGUGAAGAUGCAGUGUACCCGCGGCAAGACGGAAAGACCCCGUGAACCUUUACUAUAGCUUGACACUGAACAUUGAGCCUUGAUGUGUAGGAUAGGUGGGAGGCUUUGAAGUGUGGACGCCAGUCUGCAUGGAGCCGACCUUGAAAUACCACCCUUUAAUGUUUGAUGUUCUAACGUGGACCCGUGAUCCGGGUUGCGGACAGUGUCUGGUGGGUAGUUUGACUGGGGCGGUCUCCUCCUAAAGAGUAACGGAGGAGCACGAAGGUUGGCUAAUCCUGGUCGGACAUCAGGAGGUUAGUGCAAUGGCAUAAGCCAGCUUGACUGCGAGCGUGACGGCGCGAGCAGGUGCGAAAGCAGGUCAUAGUGAUCCGGUGGUUCUGAAUGGAAGGGCCAUCGCUCAACGGAUAAAAGGUACUCCGGGGAUAACAGGCUGAUACCGCCCAAGAGUUCAUAUCGACGGCGGUGUUUGGCACCUCGAUGUCGGCUCAUCACAUCCUGGGGCUGAAGUAGGUCCCAAGGGUAUGGCUGUUCGCCAUUUAAAGUGGUACGCGAGCUGGGUUUAGAACGUCGUGAGACAGUUCGGUCCCUAUCUGCCGUGGGCGCUGGAGAACUGAGGGGGGCUGCUCCUAGUACGAGAGGACCGGAGUGGACGCAUCACUGGUGUUCGGGUUGUCAUGCCAAUGGCACUGCCCGGUAGCUAAAUGCGGAAGAGAUAAGUGCUGAAAGCAUCUAAGCACGAAACUUGCCCCGAGAUGAGUUCUCCCUGAGACUUAAAGUCUCCUGAAGGAACGUUGAAGACGACGACGUUGAUAGGCCGGGUGUGUAAGCGCAGCGAUGCGUUGAGCUAACCGGUACUAAUGAACCGUGAGGCUUAACCUU
RNAcentral lists this ribosomal RNA (3009 nucleotides) under Salmonella enterica subsp. enterica serovar Shamba. Its description in RNAcentral is "23S ribosomal RNA". It matches the Rfam family "Bacterial large subunit ribosomal RNA". The record is from RNAcentral. Lineage: Bacteria; Pseudomonadati; Pseudomonadota; Gammaproteobacteria; Enterobacterales; Enterobacteriaceae.